Molecule: ribosomal RNA, 253 nt
Filed under: uncultured bacterium
Lineage: Bacteria
Description: partial 16S ribosomal RNA
Rfam family: Bacterial small subunit ribosomal RNA
Source: RNAcentral
GACGAACCGAGCGAACGUUGUUCGGAAUCACUGGGCUUAAAGGGCGCGUAGGCGGGUUCUCAAGUCCGGGGUGAAAUCCCACAGCUCAACUGUGGAACUGCCUCGGAUACUGGGAGUCUCGAGGGUGGCAGGGGUAUGCGGAACUAUCGGUGGAGCGGUGAAAUGCGUUGAUAUCGAUAGGAACUCCGGUGGCGAAGGCGGCAUACUGGUCCACUUCUGACGCUGAGGCGCGAAAGCCAGGGGAGCGAACGGG